Molecule: unclassified non-coding RNA, 601 nt
Filed under: Hevea brasiliensis (rubber tree)
Lineage: Eukaryota; Viridiplantae; Streptophyta; Magnoliopsida; Malpighiales; Euphorbiaceae
Source: RNAcentral
ACCACUCCUGACUUCAGGACCCUGGUAACAACAAAAUUCAAAUGAGCAAGCAAGUGAAGUACUACUUAAGAGAAAGACAACAUAUCAUGUUGCAAGUUUGUUCCACAUAAUUUCAUGUACUGAAGAUUUUGCACAUCUAAGUGUGUGCGUGUAAUUAAUUAUAAUAUAGUGGUUAAUUUAACAAUAAUUGUGGGAGAUUGCCAACCUGCAUUUAGUAUAAUUUGUUACCAUUAUGACACAAUGGCACAUAUAUAAGCUUAUUACUUUCUUUUGCUUGCCAGAUUCCCUUAUCUAAAAGGAUAGAUGUGGACAUGACCUUCAAAAGCUUCACAGAAAUAAGCAUAUGACACACAAUCAGCACUGAGUUGUUCAAAGCAUGGGUAAAUUAUAAGUAGUAGUAAGAGAACGUUUACGAUUCAAAAACAGGUGAACACUAAUCACAUUCUUUGACUGACUAGAAAUGGUACAGAUAAUUCUGAGUAAUGUUACUGGUAAAUCUAUUUAAAGAAAUGUUCCAAAUCUCUGGUAUAUCCCCCAAGUACUGCAAAUUGCAAACUAGAGCAAAGCAGUAUAGCAAUUUAAAUAUGAAUCACAAAAUUAA